This is a non-coding RNA of Cinara cedri, 439 nucleotides long. The record is from the annotation of a GenBank genome assembly. Lineage: Eukaryota; Metazoa; Arthropoda; Insecta; Hemiptera; Aphididae.
AUAAGAAAUAGUUGAGCGAUACGAAGUAGUUUUUUAUUUAUAUAUCUCUAUAUAUAUAUAUAUAUAUAUCCGUAAAUGUAAAAUACAGGUAAAUUUUGAAAAAAAUGACUGCAUUUCAAAUCAUAUACAAUUGAUUUUCGCUCAGAAUCGUGAUUCUAUACGUAUAGAUAUAGCAAUAGUUAAUUAUUGAGUACAAAUAUAAAUUAAAUAAUUUUAUAUGUCCUACCUUCCAAGUUCCUAUCUACAACAGUGACACAAUCGGUUUCGAUAUUAGCUUUAUUUUUAUUAUUUGUGUUUUAAUUCCUAUUUUAACUUAAACACCACAAUUUAUGUUCUAAUUAACGAAUUUUGACAAUGUACUUGUUAAUCAGUCAGUAGAUGUGGGUUUGGUGUCUUUUUCAUAAAACAUAAUGAAUUAUACAGGACCAGUAUAUUACCU